UCCCUGGUAACUCAGAUGGUAAAGGAUCUACCUGCAAUGCAGGAGACCUAGGUUCGAUCCCUGGAUUGGGAA
Molecule: transfer RNA, 72 nt
Filed under: Bos taurus (domestic cattle)
Lineage: Eukaryota; Metazoa; Chordata; Mammalia; Artiodactyla; Bovidae
Also listed under: 2 other names
Rfam family: tRNA
About the family: Transfer RNA (tRNA) molecules are approximately 80 nucleotides in length. Their secondary structure includes four short double-helical elements and three loops (D, anti-codon, and T loops). Further hydrogen bonds mediate the characteristic L-shaped molecular structure. tRNAs have two regions of fundamental functional importance: the anti-codon, which is responsible for specific mRNA codon recognition, and the 3' end, to which the tRNAs corresponding amino acid is attached (by aminoacyl-tRNA synthetases). tRNAs cope with the degeneracy of the genetic code in two manners: having more than one tRNA (with a specific anti-codon) for a particular amino acid; and 'wobble' base-pairing, i.e. permitting non-standard base-pairing at the 3rd anti-codon position.
Source: Rfam by way of RNAcentral